RNAcentral lists this ribosomal RNA (481 nucleotides) under uncultured bacterium. RNAcentral describes it as "partial 16S ribosomal RNA". It matches the Rfam family "Bacterial small subunit ribosomal RNA", at positions 28 to 507 of the family's 1533-position model. The record is from RNAcentral.
GAUGAACGCUGGCGGCGUGCUUAACACAUGCAAGUCGAACGAAGCACUUUAUUUGAUUUCCUUCGGGACUGAUUAUUUUGUGACUGAGUGGCGGACGGGUGAGUAACGCGUGGGUAACCUGCCUUGUACAGGGGGAUAACAGUUGGAAACGGCUGCUAAUACCGCAUAAGCGCACAGCAUCGCAUGAUGCAGUGUGAAAAACUCCGGUGGUAUAAGAUGGACCCGCGUUGGAUUAGCUAGUUGGUGAGGUAACGGCCCACCAAGGCGACGAUCCAUAGCCGACCUGAGAGGGGGACCGGCCACAUUGGGACUGAGACACGGCCCAAACUCCUACGGGAGGCAGCAGUGGGGAAUAUUGCACAAUGGGCGAAAGCCUGAUGCAGCGACGCCGCGUGAGCGAAGAAGUAUUUCGGUAUGUAAAGCUCUAUCAGCAGGGAAGAUAAUGACGUUACCUGACUAAGAAGCACCGGCUAAAUACGUG